UAUUAUGAGAGUUUGAUCCUAGCUCAGGAUGAACGCUGGCGGUGUGCCUUAGGCAUGCAAGUUAAACGAUCCAGAAAUUUCAGCAAUGAAAUUUCUGGGUAGUAGCAGACGAGUUAGUAAUACGCAGGAACCUUCCCCCAAGUCAGGAAUACCGAGCCGAAAGGUUUGUUAAUACCUGAUAGUCUCUUAGGAGUAAAGUCGCAAGACGCUUGGGAAUGGGCCUGUGGGCUAUCAGCUAGUUGGUAGUGUAAUGGACUACCAAGGCUA
This 267-nucleotide ribosomal RNA is filed under the name Candidatus Moraniibacteriota bacterium. RNAcentral's name for it is "partial 16S ribosomal RNA". It matches the Rfam family "Bacterial small subunit ribosomal RNA", at positions 1 to 276 of the family's 1533-position model. The record is from RNAcentral. Lineage: Bacteria; Candidatus Moraniibacteriota.